Molecule: non-coding RNA, 329 nt
Organism: Pelobates cultripes (western spadefoot toad)
Lineage: Eukaryota; Metazoa; Chordata; Amphibia; Anura; Pelobatidae
Source: the annotation of a GenBank genome assembly
AAAGUAACAGAGCAGGAGAUAAGGCCUUCUAAAUUAAACAGACUAUGCAAUAACGGAAGUAUAAACAGAGCUGUCUUUACAGGACGACUAUGCAAGUCACAUGCAGGGAGGUAGGAUUAAGGCUACAUAAACUCGUAAAUGGCAGAGAAUUGAGCAGUGAGACUGCAGGGACAUGAUCUAUGCAGCAAAAUUGCUUCAUUAAGCUAAAGUUGUUUUGGUGUAUAUCGUGUCCUUUUAAAACAAUGUGCAUGAAAGUGGGAUACAAGCAAACAAUUGCAAAAACAAUUUCACGCAAGUUGGUUUUCUGGAUGAACACAUGGGUUUGGGAA